GGGUUGUGAGGUUAAGCGACUAAGCGUACACGGUGGAUGCCCUGGCAGUCAGAGGCGAUGAAGGACGUGCUAAUCUGCGAAAAGCGUCGGUAAGGUGAUAUGAACCGUUAUAACCGGCGAUGUCCGAAUGGGGAAACCCAGUGCAAUUCGUUGCACUAUCGUUAACUGAAUACAUAGGUUAACGAGGCGAACCGGGGGAACUGAAACAUCUAAGUACCCCGAGGAAAAGAAAUCAACUGAGAUUCCCCCAGUAGCGGCGAGCGAACGGGGAGCAGCCCAGAGUCUGAAUCAGCUUGUGUGUUAGUGGAACGGUCUGGAAAGUCCGACGGUACAGGGUGAUAGUCCCGUACACCAAAAUGCACAGGCUGUGAACUCGAAGAGUAGGGCGGGACACGUGGUAUCCUGUCUGAAUAUGGGGGGACCAUCCUCCAAGGCUAAAUACUCCUGACUGACCGAUAGUGAACCAGUACCGUGAGGGAAAGGCGAAAAGAACCCCGGCGAGGGGAGUGAAAAAGAACCUGAAACCGUGUACGUACAAGCAGUGGGAGCACCUUCGGGUGUGACUGCGUACCUUUUGUAUAAUGGGUCAGCGACUUAUAUUCUGUAGCAAGGUUAACCGUAUAGGGGAGCCGCAGGGAAACCGAGUCUUAACUGGGCGUUAAGUUGCAGGGUAUAGACCCGAAACCCGGUGAUCUAGCCAUGGGCAGGUUGAAGGUUGGGUAACACUAACUGGAGGACCGAACCGACUAAUGUUGAAAAAUUAGCGGAUGACUUGUGGCUGGGGGUGAAAGGCCAAUCAAACCGGGAGAUAGCUGGUUCUCCCCGAAAGCUAUUUAGGUAGCGCCUCGUGAACUCAUCUUCGGGGGUAGAGCACUGUUUCGGCUAGGGGGUCAUCCCGACUUACCAACCCGAUGCAAACUACGAAUACCGAAGAAUGUUAUCACGGGAGACACACGGCGGGUGCUAACGUCCGUCGUGAAGAGGGAAACAACCCAGACCGCCAGCUAAGGUCCCAAAGUCAUGGUUAAGUGGGAAACGAUGUGGGAAGGCACAGACAGCCAGGAUGUUGGCUUAGAAGCAGCCAUCAUUUAAAGAAAGCGUAAUAGCUCACUGGUCGAGUCGGCCUGCGCGGAAGAUGUAACGGGGCUAAACCAUGCACCGAAGCUGCGGCAGCGACACUAUGUGUUGUUGGGUAGGGGAGCGUUCUGUAAGCCUGCGAAGGUGUGCUGUGAGGCAUGCUGGAGGUAUCAGAAGUGCGAAUGCUGACAUAAGUAACGAUAAAGCGGGUGAAAAGCCCGCUCGCCGGAAGACCAAGGGUUCCUGUCCAACGUUAAUCGGGGCAGGGUGAGUCGACCCCUAAGGCGAGGCCGAAAGGCGUAGUCGAUGGGAAACAGGUUAAUAUUCCUGUACUUGGUGUUACUGCGAAGGGGGGACGGAGAAGGCUAUGUUAGCCGGGCGACGGUUGUCCCGGUUUAAGCAUGUAGGCUGGUUGUCCAGGCAAAUCCGGAUAAUCAAGGCUGAGGUGUGAUGACGAGGCACUACGGUGCUGAAGUAACAAAUGCCCUGCUUCCAGGAAAAGCCUCUAAGCAUCAGGUAACAUCAAAUCGUACCCCAAACCGACACAGGUGGUCAGGUAGAGAAUACCAAGGCGCUUGAGAGAACUCGGGUGAAGGAACUAGGCAAAAUGGUGCCGUAACUUCGGGAGAAGGCACGCUGGUGUGUAGGUGAAGUCCCUGCGGAUGGAGCUGAGACCAGUCGAAGAUACCAGCUGGCUGCAACUGUUUAUUAAAAACACAGCACUGUGCAAACACGAAAGUGGACGUAUACGGUGUGACGCCUGCCCGGUGCCGGAAGGUUAAUUGAUGGGGUUAUCCGUAAGGAGAAGCUCUUGAUCGAAGCCCCGGUAAACGGCGGCCGUAACUAUAACGGUCCUAAGGUAGCGAAAUUCCUUGUCGGGUAAGUUCCGACCUGCACGAAUGGCGUAAUGAUGGCCAGGCUGUCUCCACCCGAGACUCAGUGAAAUUGAACUCGCUGUGAAGAUGCAGUGUACCCGCGGCAAGACGGAAAGACCCCGUGAACCUUUACUAUAGCUUGACACUGAACAUUGAGCCUUGAUGUGUAGGAUAGGUGGGAGGCUUUGAAGCGUGGACGCCAGUCUGCGUGGAGCCAACCUUGAAAUACCACCCUUUAAUGUUUGAUGUUCUAACGUUGGCCCCUGACCGGGGUUGCGGACAGUGUCUGGUGGGUAGUUUGACUGGGGCGGUCUCCUCCCAAAGCGUAACGGAGGAGCACGAAGGUUAGCUAAUCCUGGUCGGACAUCAGGAGGUUAGUGCAAUGGCAUAAGCUAGCUUGACUGCGAGCGUGACGGCGCGAGCAGGUGCGAAAGCAGGUCAUAGUGAUCCGGUGGUUCUGAAUGGAAGGGCCAUCGCUCAACGGAUAAAAGGUACUCCGGGGAUAACAGGCUGAUACCGCCCAAGAGUUCAUAUCGACGGCGGUGUUUGGCACCUCGAUGUCGGCUCAUCACAUCCUGGGGCUGAAGUAGGUCCCAAGGGUAUGGCUGUUCGCCAUUUAAAGUGGUACGCGAGCUGGGUUUAGAACGUCGUGAGACAGUUCGGUCCCUAUCUGCCGUGGGCGCUGGAGAAUUGAGGGGGGCUGCUCCUAGUACGAGAGGACCGGAGUGGACGCAUCACUGGUGUUCGGGUUGUCAUGCCAAUGGCACUGCCCGGUAGCUAAAUGCGGAAGAGAUAAGUGCUGAAAGCAUCUAAGCACGAAACUUGCCCCGAGAUGAGUUCUCCCUGAGACUUUAAGUCUCCUGAAGGAACGUU
This 2825-nucleotide ribosomal RNA is filed under the name Klebsiella pneumoniae. Its description in RNAcentral is "partial 23S ribosomal RNA". It matches the Rfam family "Bacterial large subunit ribosomal RNA". The record is from RNAcentral. Lineage: Bacteria; Pseudomonadati; Pseudomonadota; Gammaproteobacteria; Enterobacterales; Enterobacteriaceae.